RNAcentral lists this ribosomal RNA (443 nucleotides) under uncultured bacterium. Its description in RNAcentral is "bacterial SSU rRNA". It matches the Rfam family "Bacterial small subunit ribosomal RNA", at positions 30 to 475 of the family's 1533-position model. The record is from RNAcentral.
UGAACGCUGGCGGCAGGCCUAACACAUGCAAGUCGAGCGGAUGACAGGAGCUUGCUCCUGAAUUCAGCGGCGGACGGGUGAGUAAUGCCUAGGAAUCUGCCUGGUAGUGGGGGAUAACGCAGCGAAAGUUGCGCUAAUACCGCAUACGCCCUGAGGGGGAAAGCGGGGGACCGUAAGGCCUCGCGCGAUUAGAGCGGCCGAUGUCUGAUUAGCUUGUUGGUGAGGUAAAAGCUCACCAAGGCGAUGAUCAGUAGCUGGUCUGAGAGGACGAUCAGCCACACUGGGACUGAGACACGGCCCAGACUCCUACGGGAGGCAGCAGUGGGGAAUUUUGGACAAUGGGGGCAACCCUGAUCCAGCAAUGCCGCGUGAGUGAAGAAGGCCUCGGUGUAAGACUCUUUGUCUGGAAGAACAAGCAGCUCUACACAGUCUGCGAAUGACGG